CUACGUGCCAGCAGCCGCGGUAAUACGGAGGGUGCGAGCGUUAAUCGGAAUAACUGGGCGUAAAGGGCACGCAGGCGGUGACUUAAGUGAGGUGUGAAAGCCCCGGGCUUAACCUGGGAAUUGCAUUUCAUACUGGGUCGCUAGAGUACUUUAGGGAGGGGUAGAAUUCCACGUGUAGCGGUGAAAUGCGUAGAUAUAUGGAGGAACACCGGUGGCGAAAGCGGCUCUCUGGUCUGUAACUGACGCUGAGGCUCGAAAGCGUGGGGAGCGAACAGGAUUAGAUACCCUGGUAGUCCACGCCGUAAACGAUGAGUGCUAGGUGUUAGACCCUUUCCGGGGUUUAGUGCCGUAGCUAACGCAUUAAGCACUCCGCCUGGGGAGUACGACCGCAAGGCUGAAACUCAAAGGAAUUGACGGGGACCCGCACAAGCGGUGGAGCAUGUGGUUUAAUUCGACGCAACGCGAGGAACCUUACCAGAUCUUGACAUCC
RNAcentral lists this ribosomal RNA (490 nucleotides) under uncultured bacterium. RNAcentral's name for it is "bacterial SSU rRNA". It matches the Rfam family "Bacterial small subunit ribosomal RNA", at positions 501 to 989 of the family's 1533-position model. The record is from RNAcentral.